AAAUUUAUAUUCAGUACCUCUGGUGUUAGAAUGAAGAAAUUUUUAAUUUUUAAUUAGCACCUGGGUCAGUAUGACUUCAUGUAAACCUCAACCUGGGAGUUACCUUUCCCUUGUGAUAUUAGGACAUCCACACAGUUGAGGAGCAUGAAUGGAAACAUCUGACAAACCCUCUACAGGUGGUGAUUCUUGCAAAUGAGAUGUUAUCAAUGUGAACCAAUUGGAAGAACUAUAAUUAAGAUUCAAAUCAAUGAUUCGACCAUAAACUGGAUGA
RNAcentral lists this long non-coding RNA (271 nucleotides) under Lynx pardinus (Iberian lynx). The record is from RNAcentral. Lineage: Eukaryota; Metazoa; Chordata; Mammalia; Carnivora; Felidae.